GACGAACGCUGGCGGCGUGCUUAACGCAUGCAAGUCGAGCGGGAUCCAACCGGUGGCAACACCGGGGAAGAUCUAGCGGCGAACGGGUGAGUAACACGUGAGCAACCUGCCCCGAAGACUGGGAUAACACCGGGAAACCGGUGCUAAUACCGGAUGUCGUCAUUAGGCCGCAUGACCUGAUGAUGAAAGGAUUCAUCGCUUCGGGAGGGGCUCGCGGGCUAUCAGCUUGNGGGUGGGGUAACGGCCUACCAAGGCGACGACGGCUAGCUGGUCUGAGAGGACGACCAGCCACACUGGGACUGAGACACGGCCCAGACUCCUACGGGAGGCAGCAGUGGGGAAUCUUGCGCAAU
This 353-nucleotide ribosomal RNA is filed under the name uncultured bacterium. RNAcentral describes it as "bacterial SSU rRNA". It matches the Rfam family "Bacterial small subunit ribosomal RNA", at positions 28 to 372 of the family's 1533-position model. The record is from RNAcentral.